This 292-nucleotide ribosomal RNA is filed under the name uncultured prokaryote. RNAcentral's name for it is "partial 16S ribosomal RNA". It matches the Rfam family "Bacterial small subunit ribosomal RNA", at positions 505 to 796 of the family's 1533-position model. The record is from RNAcentral.
GUGCCAGCCGCCGCGGUAAUACGAGGGGAGCUAGCGUUAUUCGGAAUUACUGGGCGUAAAGCGCGCGUAGGCGGUUUUUUAAGUCAGGGGUGAAAGCCCGGAGCUCAACUCCGGAACUGCCUUUGAAACUGGAAGACUUGAAUCUUGGAGAGGUCAGUGGAAUUCCGAGUGUAGAGGUGAAAUUCGUAGAUAUUCGGAAGAACACCAGUGGCGAAGGCGACUGACUGGACAAGUAUUGACGCUGAGGCGCGAAAGCGUGGGGAGCAAACAGGAUUAGAAACCCUCGUAGUCC